AGAGUUUGAUCCUGGCUCAGGACGAACGCUGGCGGCGUGCUUAACACAUGCAAGUCGAGCGGUAAGGCCUUUCGGGGUACACGAGCGGCGAACGGGUGAGUAACACGUGGGUGAUCUGCCCUGCACUUCGGGAUAAGCCUGGGAAACUGGGUCUAAUACCGGAUAUGACCUCCUAUCGCAUGGUGGGUGGUGGAAAGAUUUAUCGGUGCAGGAUGGGCCCGCGGCCUAUCAGCUUGUUGGUGGGGUAAUGGCCUACCAAGGCGACGACGGGUAGCCGACCUGAGAGGGUGACCGGCCACACUGGGACUGAGACACGGCCCAGACUCCUACGGGAGGCAGCAGUGGGGAAUAUUGCACAAUGGGCGAAAGCCUGAUGCAGCGACGCCGCGUGAGGGAUGACGGCCUUCGGGUUGUAAACCUCUUUCAGCAGGGACGAAGCGCAAGUGACGGUACCUGCAGAAGAAGCACCGGCUAACUACGUGCCAGCAGCCGCGGUAAUACGUAGGGUGCAAGCGUUGUCCGGAAUUACUGGGCGUAAAGAGUUCGUAGGCGGUUUGUCGCGUCGUUUGUGAAAACCAGCAGCUCAACUGCUGGCUUGCAGGCGAUACGGGCAGACUUGAGUACUGCAGGGGAGACUGGAAUUCCUGGUGUAGCGGUGAAAUGCGCAGAUAUC
Molecule: ribosomal RNA, 673 nt
Filed under: Rhodococcus sp. 58
Lineage: Bacteria; Bacillati; Actinomycetota; Actinomycetes; Mycobacteriales; Nocardiaceae
Description: bacterial SSU rRNA
Rfam family: Bacterial small subunit ribosomal RNA
Source: RNAcentral